RNAcentral lists this ribosomal RNA (472 nucleotides) under uncultured bacterium. RNAcentral's name for it is "bacterial SSU rRNA". It matches the Rfam family "Bacterial small subunit ribosomal RNA", at positions 111 to 615 of the family's 1533-position model. The record is from RNAcentral.
UAACACGUGGAUCAUCUACCCUUUAGUGGGGAAUAACGCUGGGAAACCGGCGCUAAUACCGCAUAAUCCCGAGAGGGGAAAGCAGCAAUGCGCUGAAGGAGGAGUCCGCGGCCGAUUAGCUAGUUGGCAGGGUAAAAGCCUACCAAGGCAAAGAUCGGUAGCCGGCCUGAGAGGGCACACGGCCACACUGGCACUGAAACACGGGCCAGACUCCUACGGGAGGCAGCAGUGGGGAAUCUUGCACAAUGGGGGAAACCCUGAUGCAGCGACGCCGCGUGAGCGAUGAAGCCCUUCGGGGUGUAAAGCUCUUUCGGCAGGGACGAUAAUGACGGUACCUGCAGAAGCAGCUGCGGCUAACUACGUGCCAGCAGCCGCGGUAAUACGUAGGCAGCGAGCGUUGUUCGGAAUUACUGGGCGUAAAGGGUGUGUAGGCGGUUCUCUAAGUUUGGUGUGAAAUCUCCCGGCUCAACUG